CCAAGCAUGUCAAUCACACAGCCAUGAUUGUCAAGAUUAUGGCUCAAAUAGAAAAACAGCGAAUUUAAUCUUCUUGAAUUCCGUGCUGUUAAUCUCGCCCCCACGUUUUCUCAACUCUUAUUUUUCGUAAAGUGAUAGUUGACGAGAGACGAAAGUGUAAACGCUCAUCACUGCGCGUUUCGUUAGCGCCGAACCGGAUCAUGUUUGGAAUCACACGCUAAAGCAGCUGUUUGUCGCCGUUAAAACAAAAUAAAACGGCUCUUUCCUCGAGCGAUUCUUUUUUUUUUUUUUUCUUUUUUUUUUUUUUGCAGGAGAGUACAGCCGAUGUGAUUUCCAACCAUUGAGGUCGGUCGGCGUUCAAGUGAACAAAGCGUCCCAAAAUGAUGUCAGGAAAGCAUUUCAAGGCGCACGAAGUGAGCUGCUGCAUUAAGUAUUUCAUUUUUGGAUUCAACAUCAUAUUCUGGUUCCUUGGAGUGGCAUUCCUUGGCAUAGGAUUGUGGGCAUGGAGCGAAAAGGGUGUCCUAUCCAACAUUUCAUCUAUCACGGACCUCGGGGGCUUUGAUCCAGUAUGGCUCUUCCUGGUGGUUGGUGGGGUGAUGUUUAUUCUGGGAUUCGCGGGUUGCAUUGGAGCACUGCGAGAAAACUCAUUCCUGCUCAAAUUUUUCUCGGUGUUCCUGGGUAUCAUCUUCUUCCUGGAGUUGACAGCAGGAGUCCUGGCCUUUGUCUUCAAAGACUGGAUCAAGGACCAGCUGAACUUUUUUAUCAACAACAACAUUCGGGCCUAUAGGGAUGACAUUGAUCUGCAGAACCUAAUAGAUUUCACCCAAGAAUAUUGGGAGUGCUGUGGUGCUUUUGGAGCAGACGACUGGAAUUUGAACAUCUAUUUCAACUGCACCGAUUCCAACCCGAGUCGUGAGAAAUGUGGUGUGCCCUUUUCCUGCUGCACCAAAGAUCCAGCUGAGGAUGUCAUCAACACUCAGUGUGGUUACGACAUCCGAGCAAAAACUGACUCAGAACAGAGGACAUACAUCUACAUUAAAGGGUGCGUCCCACAAUUUGAGAAGUGGCUUCAAGACAACCUGACAGUGGUGGCAGGCAUAUUUAUUGGGAUUGCAUUAUUACAGUUAUCUCGUGUGUAUUUUGAUUUAUUUCUUAGAUUUUUGGCAUAUGUCUAGCACAGAAUCUGGUGAGCGACAUCGAAGCAGUAAGAGAAAGUUGUUUGUUCACCUAAGGCUGGCAUAUAAUCUCCAGAGGAACGAACGAUGUAUCAGGGCUCUUCAGACUGCACACAAGCAAUGAAGGGAGACACUUUAAUCAACUUUGAUGUCCAAAAUGAAGAGACUCAUUUCUGUGUAAAUAGUACAUGUAUAGUUUAUUUGUGGGCCUAUUUUUAAAUGACGCACAAGCUCUGAAAUGUAUUGUGAGUACAUUGCGUCAAGCAGUUUAAUGCAGUGGCGUCUAUUAUGUUGGUGAAGUAGCUUUCAAACAGCAUUGUUCUGUGAGGGACGGAAUAAACGAGGCUGCCACAUUUCACUCACACAAAUAAUUUAUGUUGAGAGUGGACAGAACAUUACAUUUGUGCAGUUUUUAAUGCUUCUUUUACAAAGUUAGGUUUAUUCUGAGCAAGCACUGCAUGCCUUUUGUCUACUGGUGGGACAUUGGCUUACCUAUCAAGAGUACAUUUAAGUAUUUGAAAUAUUUGUCAAAUUUCUGCCUAGUUCAUGGUACGUUUGGCUGGUUCGCACUUUGUGAAAAGAUGGAUGGGGAUGUUGCCACGAAUUUACUUGAGAUAUAUUUGUGGCAUGCCCUUAUCAUACUGUGGCAUUCAGUGCCUCAAGUAGUUAUAGGGUGGAAAGACAUAGGUAUGGAACGAAUCACUGAGAAGAAGCAUAAAAAUGUGUCAUCAAAGUAAAUUAUAAGCACUUUCAUCCUCAUGGAGGAAUAAUGACGCGUAUUGGGUGGAUGAGCUACUGUUUCGAGUCUUUUUUUUUUUUUAGUUCAGCCAGGGGCCCGCUAGAGGGGGCACCUUUUUCAACAGCAGUAAACUGGUGCUCUUUUUUUCAACCUAUGACGCCAUCUACACGAAACUGCUUUAUUUGCCAUUGCUAUUUAUUAAAUUUUUGCAAAGCCUCUAAGUGAUAACAAAAUGACUCAUCGGUUUUACUGUAUUAGCUGUAAAUUUUCACAGGAAAUUGGGAUCUUUGUAAAACUUGUGAUGUAUAAUGCAUAUUUGCACUUAAGAAAAUAAUUUAGUUUACACACAAAUAGCAUUUAAAAGUAAGAUGCGCGCACACCAUCACCAGCAUUAUUUAAAUACUGCAGGAAGCUUUCCAAGAUUUUGCAGCCACAUUCUCUUUUGUGUUUUUUUUUUCAUCACCAAAAACUUUCAAUGAUUGUUAAUGUUGAUUGAUCACAUUCUUUCUUACCACUCAGUGCCAAAUAUGUAAGUUGUACAUAUUCCUGGUUACACCUUUUUCAGUUAAAAUAUCGUUUGCUAAAUUUUGUUUUUUCCUCUUGUAAAUUCCUGGAUUGUGUCAAGUUGUAAAUAUAUCUGAAUAAAUGUGGGUCUUUGUAUAAAUUCUGGACACUGUUACCCUCUACAUAUUGCGUACUUUUUUCUUUAUUAUUACUUGUCAGUGGUAUCAGAGUGGGAUCAGAGUGGUUACAUUAAAUGCU
Molecule: RNA transcript, 2676 nt
Organism: Syngnathoides biaculeatus (alligator pipefish)
Lineage: Eukaryota; Metazoa; Chordata; Actinopteri; Syngnathiformes; Syngnathidae
Gene name: tetraspanin-5
Exons: 10
Source: RefSeq, a predicted model, not a curated record